CGAUCUUACAUUGAUAAGCACCAACAAACAUGACCCUAUUAAUGGGGAUGAUUUUGAUCAUCCAUUCUGCUGUAUAUAAUCCUCAUUAAAAGGACUGAAACUAAGCCUGACACAGUGUUACUCAUUGCUAAUCGUCUGUAGGUCCAGUAGCACUGUAUGCUGAGUGUAUUACUGUAGAGAAAAUUGUCUGCUCAGAAGAGUUCAGAGUCAAUGGAAAAGGAAAAAGAAUUUACAGCUUGCAGGUUCUCAAAAGCUGGUCGUGGUAAGACAAAAAGGUUUUCUCAAAGCAAUACUUGCCCAUCCACCUCUUUCAGAGGAACACAGCAUCCAACAAGGUUAGGAAUCAGGAAGUGUUAGUGUUGUUCCUUUUUGUUUGUUUGGACAGUUUAGCACUAACAGUGAUGAACUUCUUUAUAAAACAGGCUACUCUUUUGUUGCACUAGUGGCCAGAGUUGGACAAAACUGGAAAAGGCUGCAGAGUUUGAAGAGGUAUUCAGCAAACUACUGGAAAGAAACAAAAUACCAUGAAAAGAGUUUAUGUAUAUUUUAAAGAAAGCUCUUGGUAUAGAUUCAACAUUUAUUUCAAAACUUGAAUGCACAGUAUGAAGCAUAUUCCAGGUUCUCAACACUGACUGUGGGAUCUCUUCUAAGAGAACAAUGAGAUCACCUUGUGUUCUACCAGAAGUCCUUCACUACAAAGGUUACUGUCACUUUCACGUAACUAAAAGUGCUGCCAGCCUUUAAUUGUUUUCAGAAGAGAAUAACUAUUUGAAUUUUGGAUGCAAACCCUGAAUUCAAACUAUUCCAGGUUAUAAGCCAUGCCUCUUUAUUCUUCUGCUGUGUUUCCUUGAUGGUCUGUAAAACUAAUCCAAAGCAGAUGCAUGCUCAUGUCUUAGCUUUUGACAUUCCAUUUCUAAAUCCAGAAACAAUUUACUAUGUUCUGUAUGUAUAUAUUGUGAAUGAAUAUUGUAUUAUAAUGUAGACAGUGAGGCAUAUUGAUGGAAGAGGUCAUAUCCAGUUCUUGACUAGGCAGCAGUCACAUUCUUCAAGAGACCAAUGAAACAGACACGUGUACAUUUAGGAGAAUUAAAUAAUACAAAUUCUUAUAUGAGAAAGAUGGUGAAUUCAGAGCCAACCUCCUACGAUAAUUCUACAUUAGCUUCACCUUUUAUAUUUAACUAUUAUAUUUUCAGCAAUCCUCUAUUAGAAAUGUCAGUAGCAUUCAGGACUCUGAUAAAAAGAUAAAAGAUAAGAGUGACAGGUACAGUUCUUGGUAAUAUAAGAUACAACCAGGGAGCAAGUUGAUUUUUCAAAGCUACCUUAGGUUCUGGACAUUUUAAGGAGAUUUUAGUUAUUAUUUAAGGGACCUUUGACAAACGUUGACCAAAAAUCCAGGAGUUUAGCACUCAACUCAUCCUGAAAAUUAU
Molecule: long non-coding RNA, 1427 nt
Organism: Oxyura jamaicensis (ruddy duck)
Lineage: Eukaryota; Metazoa; Chordata; Aves; Anseriformes; Anatidae
Exons: 2
Source: RefSeq, a predicted model, not a curated record